Molecule: ribosomal RNA, 578 nt
Filed under: Aeromicrobium sp. BvORR139
Lineage: Bacteria; Bacillati; Actinomycetota; Actinomycetes; Propionibacteriales; Nocardioidaceae
Description: bacterial SSU rRNA
Rfam family: Bacterial small subunit ribosomal RNA
Source: RNAcentral
AGGGGUGAGUAACACGUGAGCAAUCUGCCCUUCUCAUCGGAAUAACCAUUGGAAACGAUGGCUAAUGCCGAAUAUGACCUCGGAUCACAUGUUCUGAGGUGGAAAGCUCCGGCGGAGAAGGAUGAGCUCGCGGCCUAUCAGCUUGUUGGUGAGGUAAUGGCUCACCAAGGCAUUGACGGGUAGCCGGCCUGAGAGGGUGACCGGCCACACUGGGACUGAGACACGGCCCAGACUCCUACGGGAGGCAGCAGUGGGGAAUAUUGGACAAUGGGCGAAAGCCUGAUCCAGCAACGCCGCGUGAGGGAUGACGGCCUUCGGGUUGUAAACCUCUUUCAGCAGGGACGAAGCGAAAGUGACGGUACCUGCAGAAGAAGGACCGGCCAACUACGUGCCAGCAGCCGCGGUAAUACGUAGGGUCCGAGCGUUGUCCGGAAUUAUUGGGCGUAAAGGGCUCGUAGGCGGUUUGUCGCGUCGGGAGUGAAAACUCAGGGCUCAACCCUGAGCGUGCUUCCGAUACGGGCAGACUAGAGGUAUGCAGGGGAGAACGGAAUUCCUGGUGUAGCGGUGGAAUGCGCAGA